GUCCUCAUAGUUUAAUGGAUAAAAUGCCGGCCUCCGAAGCUGGCGAUGCAGGUUCGAUUCCCGCUGAGGACA
RNAcentral lists this transfer RNA (72 nucleotides) under Candidatus Staskawiczbacteria bacterium RIFCSPLOWO2_01_FULL_38_12b. RNAcentral describes it as "tRNA-Arg". It matches the Rfam family "tRNA". From Rfam's summary of the family: Transfer RNA (tRNA) molecules are approximately 80 nucleotides in length. Their secondary structure includes four short double-helical elements and three loops (D, anti-codon, and T loops). The record is from RNAcentral. Lineage: Bacteria; Candidatus Staskawicziibacteriota.